CAGGGAGACAACAAAAUGUUUAAUAUUAUUAUUUUGUCACCUUAGGUCGAUCGGUAUCUCACGUUUUUAAUUUAUUAAGAAUUUCAUUUCCUAAGUUUUUCUAGGUCACACCCAUUAUUUUUCCUGGGCCAUUAGCUCAGGUGGUUAGAGCGCACCCCUGAUAAGGGUGAGGUCCCUGGUUCAAGUCCAGGAUGGCCCAUAUCUCUAUGUUGGGGGUAUAGCUCAGUUGGUAGAGCGCCUGCUUUGCAAGCAGGAUGUCAGCGGUUCGAGUCCGCUUACCUCCACUGAUUACCACCUCUUCCAUAACUGGUAGAAAGGAAAUGUAUUGAGUUGUGAUCAAAUUCUGAAAGAAUCUAGCUUCCUAAUGAAAACAUUAAGAUGCUGGACUCAUUGAAUUAAUUUCAUUGUUUUCAGAGAACCUUGACAACUGCAUAGAUUAUUUUUAAAGACAAUUAGCAUCUUUAAUGAUGCAGAUUUAUUAUUUGUGCGAAUGCAUUAAUAACAAUUCUAUUAAGCUGAUGCUUCAAUUUUGAAGUUAUU
RNAcentral lists this transfer RNA (540 nucleotides) under uncultured cyanobacterium. Its description in RNAcentral is "partial 16S-23S ribosomal RNA intergenic spacer". The stretch from base 212 to 284 matches the Rfam family "tRNA". Lineage: Bacteria; Bacillati; Cyanobacteriota. The record is from RNAcentral.